AUUGACCACGGAUCCGGGUGAGGAUA
RNAcentral lists this ribosomal RNA (26 nucleotides) under Peltigera esslingeri. RNAcentral describes it as "partial 28S ribosomal RNA". Lineage: Eukaryota; Fungi; Ascomycota; Lecanoromycetes; Peltigerales; Peltigeraceae. The record is from RNAcentral.